GAUGAACGCUGGCGGCGUGCCUAAUACAUGCAAGUCGAGCGAACGGACGAGAAGCUUGCUUUUCUGAUGUUAGCGGCGGACGGGUGAGUAACACGUGGAUAACCUACCUAUAAGUCUGGGAUAACUUCGGGAAACCGGAGCUAAUACCGGAUAAUAUUUUGAACCGCAUGGUUCAAAAGUGAAAGACGGUCUUGCUGUCACUUAUAGAUGGAUCCGCGCUGCAUUAGCUAGUUGGUAAGGUAACGGCUUACCAAGGCAACGAUGCAUAGCCGACCUGAGAGGGUGAUCGGCCACACUGGAACUGAGACACGGUCCAGACUCCUACGGGAGGCAGCAGUAGGGAAUCUUCCGCAAUGGGCGAAAGCCUGACGGAGCAACGCCGCGUGAGUGAUGAAGGUCUUCGGAUCGUAAAACUCUGUUAUUAGGGAAGAACAUAUGUGUAAGUAACUGUGCACAUCUUGACGGUACCUAAUCAGAAAGCCACGGCUAACUACGUG
RNAcentral lists this ribosomal RNA (497 nucleotides) under uncultured bacterium. RNAcentral describes it as "partial 16S ribosomal RNA". It matches the Rfam family "Bacterial small subunit ribosomal RNA", at positions 28 to 507 of the family's 1533-position model. The record is from RNAcentral.